GAACAAGUUAAUGACUGUGAUGAGGAAGACAGGAGCAUACAAGAGGGACAAUGUUCAUCUACUGUUGAUGCUUCAGCCGAGGUGGCACUUCCUCCUACCGAGAGGAAUAUGUCACACAAAAGAGGCAAACCAUCAUCAGAAGUGCCGAUGCCUUCAGGAGCCAGUGCUAUGAGACCGCCUUGCAAAGGUAAAAGUAGCCAGAAGAAAGCUCCCUGGCAGCAGGCAGAGGUGGAGGCGGUGGAAAGGAACCUGAAGUCAUUCAUCAUAUCUGGCACUGUACCAGCAAAGAGUGACUGUGAGAAAUGCUUGAAAGCUGAACCAGAAGCUCUGAGGAACCGCGAUUGGAAGACUGUAAAAUUGUAUGUUUAUAAUCGCAUUACAGCUUACAAAAAUAAAUUGCAGUGUAGAUAAUACUGUAAAGAUGCAACUAUCUGGCAUGGCAAGUUUUGUUAAAGCCACA
This is a long non-coding RNA of Carassius carassius (crucian carp), 460 nucleotides long. RefSeq lists it as uncharacterized. The record is from RefSeq and is a predicted model, not a curated record. Lineage: Eukaryota; Metazoa; Chordata; Actinopteri; Cypriniformes; Cyprinidae. The transcript has 3 exons.